AUACUUACCUGGCAGGGGAGACACUAUGAUCAGGAAGGUAGUUUUCCCAGGUGAGGCUCGCCCAUUACACUUGGGGUGUGCUAACCCCUGUGAUUUCCCCAAAUCCAGGAUUCUCAAUUGCAUAAUUUGUGUUAUGGGGGACUGUGUUCCCCUGGCCCCCU
Small nuclear RNA from Rattus norvegicus (Norway rat), 161 nucleotides. Ensembl annotates it as RNA, U1 small nuclear 140. Its record names the gene Rnu1-140. Lineage: Eukaryota; Metazoa; Chordata; Mammalia; Rodentia; Muridae. The record is from Ensembl.